AGAGUUUGAUCCUGGCUCAGAACGAACGCUGGCGGCGUGCUUAACACAUGCAAGUCGAACGAGAAAGCUUCCUUCGGGAAGUAAGUAGAGUGGCGCACGGGUGAGUAACGCGUAGGUAAUCUACCCUUAUAACUGGGAUAACAUUGGGAAACUGGUGCUAAUACCGGAUACACUUCUUUACUGCGGGGUAAAGGAGGAAAGGUGGCCUCUUCAUGAAAGCUACCGUAUAGGGAUGAGCCUGCGUACCAUUAGCUAGUAGGCGGGGUAACGGCCCACCUAGGCAACGAUUGUUAGCGGGUCUGAGAGGGUGAUCCGCCACACUGGAACUGGAACACGGACCAGACUCCUACGGGAGGCAGCAGUGAGGAAUAUUGCGCAAUGGGGGAAACCCUGACGCAGCGACGCCGCGUGAGUGAGGAAGGUUUUCGGAUCGUAAAGCUCUGUCAGAAGGGAAGAAGUGUUAUAUGCUUAAUACGCAUAUAAUUUGACGGUACCUUCAGAGGAAGCACCGGCUAACUCCGUGCCAGCAGCCGCGGUAAUACGGAGGGUGCAAGCGUUGUUCGGAGUUACUGGGCGUAAAGGGCGCGUAGGCGGCUGGAUAAGUCAGAUGUGAAAGUCCAUGGCUCAACUGUGGAAGUGCAUUUGAAACUGUCCGGCUUGAGUAUCGGAGGGGAGUGUGGAAUUCCCGGUGUAGAGGUGAAAUUCGUAGAGAUCGGGAGGAACACCGGUGGCGAAGGCGACACUCUGGACGAAUACUGACGCUGAGGCGCGAAAGCGUGGGGAGCAAACAGGAUUGGAUACCCUGGUAGUCCACGCCGUAAACGAUGUGAACUAGGGAUAGGGGGUGUUGAUCCCUCCUGUCCCGCAGCUAACGCAUUAAGUUCACCGCCUGGGGAGUACGGUCGCAAGAUUAAAACUCAAAGGAAUUGACGGGGGCCCGCACAAGCGGUGGAGUAUGUGGUUUAAUUCGACGCAACGCGAAGAACCUUACCUGGGCUUGACAUCCCGAGAAUCUCCUGGAAACAGGAGAGUGCGUCAUUAGAUGAACUUGGUGACAGGUGCUGCAUGGCUGUCGUCAGCUCGUGUCGUGAGAUGUUGGGUUAAGUCCCGCAACGAGCGCAACCCCUGCCUUUAGUUGCCAGCAGUUCGGCUGGGCACUCUAGAGGGACUGCCGGUGUCAAACCGGAGGAAGGUGGGGAUGACGUCAAGUCCUCAUGGCCUUUAUGCCCAGGGCUACACACG
This 1242-nucleotide ribosomal RNA is filed under the name metagenome. RNAcentral describes it as "bacterial SSU rRNA". It matches the Rfam family "Bacterial small subunit ribosomal RNA", at positions 8 to 1222 of the family's 1533-position model. The record is from RNAcentral.